RNAcentral lists this ribosomal RNA (510 nucleotides) under uncultured bacterium. RNAcentral describes it as "bacterial SSU rRNA". It matches the Rfam family "Bacterial small subunit ribosomal RNA", at positions 975 to 1482 of the family's 1533-position model. The record is from RNAcentral.
CUGGGCUCGAACGGCUUCUCAACGGCGGUGGAAACACCGCUACUCCGCAAGGGGGUGGAGUCGAGGUGCUGCAUGGCUGUCGUCAGCUCGUGUCGUGAGAUGUUGGGUUAAGUCCCGCAACGAGCGCAACCCUUGUCCUGUGUUGGCAUGCCGCAAGGCGCAACUCUCAGGAGACCGCCAGCGAUAAGCUGGAGGAAGGUGGGGAUGACGUCAAGUCAUCAUGGCCUUUAUGUCCAGGGCCACACACGUGCUACAAUGGGCGGUACAAAGCGCUGCCAACCCGCGAGGGGGAGCUAAUCGCCAAAAACCGUCCUCAGUUCGGAUCGCAGGCUGCAACUCGCCUGCGUGAAGCUGGAAUCGCUAGUAAUGCUAUAUCAGAACGAUAGCGUGAAUACGUUCCCGGGCCUUGUACACACCGCCCGUCACAUCACGAAAGUGGGUUGUACUAGAAGUCUGCAUGCUAACCCGCAAGGGAGGCAGCGGCCCAAGGUAUGACUCAUGAUUGGGGUG